UGAGGAAUUUUCCGCAAUGGGCGAAAGCCUGACGGAGCAAUACCGCGUGAAGGAUGAAGGUCCGUGGAUCGUAAACUUCUUUUCUCGGGGAAGAAAUUAAUGACGGUACCCGAGGAAUAAGCACCGGCUAACUCUGUGCCAGCAGCCGCGGUAAUACAGAGGGUGCAAGCGUUAUCCGGAAUGAUUGGGCGUAAAGCGUUUGUAGGUUGCUUGAGAAGUCUACUGUCAAAUCCCAGAGCUCAACUUUGGACAGGCAGUGGAGCACUCUUAGGCUAGAGUACGGUAGGGGUAGAGGGAAUUCCCGGUGGAGCGGUGAAAUGCACAGAGAUCGGGAAGAACACCAGUGGCGAAAGCGCUCUACUAGGCCGUGACUGACACUGAGAGACGAUAGCUAGGGGAGCGAAUGGG
This 408-nucleotide ribosomal RNA is filed under the name uncultured bacterium. Its description in RNAcentral is "bacterial SSU rRNA". It matches the Rfam family "Bacterial small subunit ribosomal RNA", at positions 355 to 776 of the family's 1533-position model. The record is from RNAcentral.